RNAcentral lists this ribosomal RNA (221 nucleotides) under Hydrotaea spinigera. RNAcentral describes it as "partial 16S ribosomal RNA". The record is from RNAcentral. Lineage: Eukaryota; Metazoa; Arthropoda; Insecta; Diptera; Muscidae.
AUAUAUCUAUGUUUAAUAAAAUUAAAAGUUUAUUAAAUUUUAAUAUCACCCCAAUAAAAUACAAUAUUAUUAAAUAAUCUAAAUCAUCUAAAAAAUUAAUUAAUAAAAUUAUAUAAAGAUUUAUAGGGUCUUCUCGUCUUUCAAAAAAAUUUUAGCUUUUUAACUAAAAAAUAAAAUUCUAAAAUAAAUUUAUAUGAAACAGUUAAUAUUUCGUCAAACCU